This 292-nucleotide ribosomal RNA is filed under the name uncultured eukaryote. Its description in RNAcentral is "partial 18S ribosomal RNA". It matches the Rfam family "Bacterial small subunit ribosomal RNA", at positions 902 to 1181 of the family's 1533-position model. The record is from RNAcentral.
CAAAUGAAUAGACGGGGACUCGCACAAGCGGUGGAGCAUGCGGUUUAAUUCGAUGCAACGCGAAGAACCUUACCAGGUCUUGACAGUGUAAAGAAUACUUAAGAGAUUAAGGGCUAAGAAUUAAGCUUGCUUAUUUCACUUUAUAAACAGGUGGUGCAUGGUUGUCGUCAGCUCGUGUCGUGAGAUGUUGGGUUAAGUCCCGCAACGAGCGCAACCCUUAUUGCUAGUUGCCAUCAUUAAGUUGGGCACUCUAGCAAGACUGCCGGUGACAAAUCGGAUGAAGGUGGGGAUG